GGCCAUUGUUAUAUUAUUGUUCGUUUCUGUGUGUGUUACAUUUUAACGUUGCGUCGUUUGUUAUCUCUUAUUUUUUAGUGUAAAUUCACAUUGCGAUAAGACGUGUCACGGUACUUGUCUAUCCCAAAUUCAUGUAUUUGGUUUUGAUGUUAUAUUUGUUAUUCUCGUGGGAUUUUGUCUGAUGCUUGGUCCGUUUCUGUGUGUGUUACAUUUCAGUGUUGUGUCGUUGUUCUCCUCUUAUAUUUAAUGCGUUUCCCUCGGUUUUAGUUUGUUACCCUGAUUUUGUUUUUU
This 291-nucleotide long non-coding RNA is filed under the name Mytilus galloprovincialis (Mediterranean mussel). The record is from RNAcentral. Lineage: Eukaryota; Metazoa; Mollusca; Bivalvia; Mytilida; Mytilidae.